AACGAACGCUGGCGGCAUGCCUAACACAUGCAAGUCGAACGAGACCUUCGGGUCUAGUGGCGCACGGGUGCGUAACGCGUGGGAACCUGCCCUUAGGUUCGGAAUAACUCCCCGAAAGGGGUGCUAAUACCGGAUAAUGUCUUCGGCCCAAAGAUUUAUCGCCUUUGGAUGGGCCCGCGUUGGAUUAGCUAGUUGGUAGGGUAAAAGCCUACCAAGGCGACGAUCCAUAGCUGGUCUGAGGGGAUGAUCAGCCACACUGGGACUGAGACACGGCCCAGACUCCUACGGGAGGCAGCAGUGGGGAAUAUUGGACAAUGGGCGAAAGCCUGAUCCAGCAAUGCCGCGUGAGUGAUGAAGGCCUUAGGGUUGUAAAGCUCUUUUACCCGGGAUGAUAAUGACAGUACCGGGAGAAUAAGCUCCGGCUAACUCCGUG
This 433-nucleotide ribosomal RNA is filed under the name uncultured bacterium. RNAcentral's name for it is "partial 16S ribosomal RNA". It matches the Rfam family "Bacterial small subunit ribosomal RNA", at positions 29 to 507 of the family's 1533-position model. The record is from RNAcentral.